GUAUAAUACUACCCGGUAUCGCGACGAGUCAAGGCAAUUAAGAGGAAACUGAGAGACAAGUAGGACCAAAGUACUGUCAAGAGUCAAUGUUUUGUUUCUUUACCAAUAAUAUACUGUAAUCUACAAUACUACAGCUGAUAUGGAUGACGUUAUGCUGAGGAGAUAUAGCAAACAACCCGUCUUAAUGAAGCAUGUUAGCGUAGCAUUUGGAGUCCUGCUGAUCCUAUUAUCCUUGGACAUUGUCAGAAGUAACGUGAUUGAACUGGAUGACAGGUUUAUUGAAGCAAAAGAGCAUGGAAAGUGGCUUGUUGAGUUUUAUGCACCUUGGUGUGGUCACUGUCAGAAAUUGAAGCCAGUAUGGGCAAACGUUGGACUUAUGAUGAUGAAGAGUCAUCCUAAUCUUCAUGUAGCUAGACUAGAUGGGACACGUUAUGGAAAGGCGAUGGACAUGUUUGAUGUGAGGGGCUUUCCAACUAUCAAAUACAUUGAAGGAGAUAAAGUUUUUACACAUACCGGUGGAAGGACCUCUCAAGAUAUCAUUGAUUUUGCAGUAAAAGCACAAGGACCUGCAGUGAAACAACUCACAAGUUCCAAUACUUUACAACAGUAUAGAAAAAGCAAACUUGUAUUCUUUGUUAUAGUUGCUGAAGAUACCUCUAGUGAAUUAGCAACGUUAUUCUCAAAGGUUGCUGAUAAGCGUAUUCUAGAUGCCUUUUAUUACCAUGUGAAACCUGAUGUCAUACCGGAGGGGGCGAGGCCAGAGAAUGUACCAGCCAUCAUGGUGUUUAAAGAUGAUCAUCAUUAUCAAUAUGAAGCACCUGAAGGAAGUCUUUCAGAAGAACACCUAUCAGAAUGGAUCGGAGCAGAAAGGUUUCCGGCAUUCUUGAGGAUUGGCAAUGAUAAUAUCAAUGACAUAGGCAGAACGGAAAAGCUUAUUGCAGUUGGUCUUGUUUAUCCAAGUGCUACAAACGUAAAGGAUCAUCCCCAUAAUCUAAUGUUAGAACUCAUCAAGAAAGUGGCAAUUGAUCACAGAGAAACAUUCUACAAGAAAGUCCAGUUUGGAUACAUGGAGGACAGCAAUAUGCUGAGUGACAUCAUUCUAAGGUCAGUAGAAGUACCGGGUAUCUUUGUAAUUGACCCAGUCACAUACCUGUAUUAUGAAUUGGACGAACCUCUUCAGCAGACCGAGGAAUCCUUUGUCAACUUCAUGAACGGUAUCAUCGAUGGCACUGUUCAGGCUAAAGGAGGCAAUAGUUUCUUCAGAAAGAUCUACAGAGUUUUCUAUGAAAUCAUCAAGAGUGUUGUGAUGCUUUGGAAUACAAUGCCCAUCAUUGCUUGCAUAGCCAUCCUAUUCCCUACGGGGCUCAUUGGCUUGGCCUGCUAUGAUUGCUACCGUACUGCCCCACAUCGGAAUAUAAGGAGGAGGCAGAGGGCUAGGCCCCGACACAAGCUGCAUGAUGUCUGAGAGGAAGAAGAGGAGGACGAGUGGAAAGGAUAGAAGGAAGGAUGGAGAGAUGCGGAUGAGACCAAGCCAUGUCAGAUGAUGUGGCUGGCUAAUCCAAUCCUGAUGACCCUUCUACUUGCCCUACCGACCGUGCUCAUCACCUUCAUCUGUUACAGCAUCUGU
This 1627-nucleotide unclassified non-coding RNA is filed under the name Lytechinus variegatus (green sea urchin). RNAcentral's name for it is "protein disulfide-isomerase TMX3-like, transcript variant X1". Lineage: Eukaryota; Metazoa; Echinodermata; Echinoidea; Temnopleuroida; Toxopneustidae. The record is from RNAcentral.